UGGAGAUGAAUCCCCUACCUUCUUCCCAGGUAGCAUUGGAUCCCAAGGUGAGAAAGCAGAGGCCCCAGGCUUCCCAGGAGAAGAGUGGAUUUGUUGCUGCCCGCCCAGAGCCCUGGUUGAGAAGCUGUGACUCAGACGCUGACUCCAGGGUCGUAUUCCCAACCUCAAAUGGCUCUAAACGGAGAUGGUGGGAGCCAAACAGGCCACUGUAAGGGGAAGGUGAUACAUAAAAGUUGCUGUGACCACUUCCAGCCUGCACGGUUAGAGACUUCUGUUCUGGACAAGCCCUUCUCUAUUUAAAUAGACAAUCCAUCCUCAAGUUUUCCACUGAGAGAAAGAGAGCGAGAUCAACUUCAUGUUCAUGAUGUAUUCUUCUGGGGGUUAAAUAGUUAAGAAGUCAAUCAUUGCUACAGGUGGAAGAAUGCUUAGGAAGAGAAUGGCAAGAACAGUAGCACAGAGACUACUGGAACUUUAGACUGUGUUCUUUUGAGCCACACAGGAUCCUUCCUAGGCCACACCAGAAGGGUUUCAUGUGGAAACCCCACUAAGUGAAUUGGGCUUUACCUCAAACUCACUUAUAGCAGAUUUAUGAAAUUGACAUAUUCCCUUGGAUUUAGGCUGGAGCGCCCGAGUGUGAGAAGCAGCAGCUGACUGCUGUCCCAAAGGUAUGGAAUUGGCAGUCACUGGGCUUGGUUCAGAUGCCAUGCUUUAAGGGCACCCAAUGAAUGGCUGCCUGAGACUACCAUAUAGUUACUAUUUUAAUGCCCUCCUUGCUUUCUGAUGACAUGUAUUAAUCUUGUAGACAUGGUUCUGCCUUUGUUAAUGAGUGUUAUUGAAUAUUUUGCCCUAUCGCCAACCCCCAUUAUUUGUGUAAAUGGUGUUCAGUUACUUAAGGGUUUAAUCUGUGCAAAUCAACAAUUCAUGUGCUGUACUCUGAAGCCAGCCUAUACUU
This is a long non-coding RNA of Echinops telfairi (small Madagascar hedgehog), 952 nucleotides long. RefSeq lists it as uncharacterized. The record is from RefSeq and is a predicted model, not a curated record. NCBI's taxonomy places the organism in Eukaryota, Metazoa, Chordata, Mammalia, Afrosoricida, Tenrecidae. The transcript is spliced from 4 exons.